UCUCUUACUUUGUCUGCUGCCAUGUGAGCUGUGCCUUUCACCUUCCACCAUGAUUGUGAAGCCUUCCCAGACAUGUGACACAACCUCUGACUAUGUGAAGAUACGGUGGGAAGAUGACUGACCGCAAGACAGGAAGAGAGCCCUCACCGAGGAACCAAAUUGGCCAGUAUCUUGAUUUUGGAUUUCUCAACCUCAAGAACCAUGAGAAAUGAAUGUCUGCUGUUCAAGCCACCCAGUCAAUGAAAAAGUUUGGAAACCUUCAUCUAGAAAGUGGUCUAGCAAAGUGUGGUCCAUGGAUGAGUUUGAUCUGCAAACUGCUUGUUAUUGGUUCAUGACAAGAAUUGGUUCCAAACAGUAAAGCCGCCAGAAAAAACAGACAAACUCUUAGGAACAACAAUGCCCAUUAUGUGUGGAGUAGAAGCUGCCAGACUUUGAUUACUGGCCAGAGAUUAACCCCUUUGGUGUCUUAGGGGGGAAAAUGCCAAGUCUGAAUCCAGACAUUUCCAGGAUUUUACAGUCAUUCAUGGUCUACCAAUUGCAUUUUGAGAGCUCAGAUAAGCAGAGAGCAAUGCAAUUUGUCACAGAAGGAUGAUUAUGUAUAUGCACUGUCAUGUGUAUGUAUGUGUAUGUAUAUACGCUAUUUCCAUGCCUAACUCAAAGGAGACACAAGGAGAAAGUGAGCUCAGCCUGGAUAAAUUGGAGAUUGUGAUGACUUCUAGGAAGCCUCAGGAAAGAGAAACAAAGACAACACUGGCCUGCUGCUCUCUGCAAUGGUGGGACCCUUGUGGGAUAACUGUUUUAGGAAUGAAGGUGUCUACCCUCUCUAGAAAUGAAAAUGCAAGUUUGGCUGUGGUUAAGUAUUGGAUGGAGGCAAAAAGAAACUGACAUAUUUUCUUCUUUUCAAUUGUUUGAUUCACCCUGAAGGGCAUGGCUGCUUAAUUUUUUUCUCCAGAGAUAGGUGGACAGAUAAAGACAGGAAAGUAACAUCCACAGACUGCCCUCUGUGAAGGUGACAGUGAUGAAAGGAAUGCUUGAUCUGAACACUGGUAAAUAAAGUGACCGCAUAUUUCCCUAGCCAGGAGAGCAAUCUGGCUCAAAAGAAACGAGAACAAUGACAUUACUGCCAGGCUGCUCCUAAGCCUUUGGCUAUUCUGUUCAGUGCACAAAAAAAAGCAGUGAACAUAGCUGUGACCUGCCUUGUUGGUAGUAUCACAAUUCUUUGGGGCUCCACUUUAAGAAAUUGAGACCUACCUACCUUAAUCCUUGGGGGGUUAAGCUUUCAGACUGGAAUGAUAACUGAACUAUUCAUUUGCAGUAAUUCUGGGUUUUGUGCAUAUUUUAAAAAGGAAUACCGGGCUUGCCUAUAUUCAUUACAACGUCCUCCCAGCUUUCAAAUCUUCCAAUACAAUGCCUCUUCUCUAGUCUUUUAAGCACAUCCUGUGACUGGAUAUGAUUAUGGGAGAUUUACAUGCAUCCUUGUCUAUUGUAUCAAAAGAUCAGGGAAUAAAAUGCCCAUCAUUAAAACCCCAAAGUGAUUGGAUUGGCAUGAGGAAUGGGGAUGGGGCUGGCAUGGAAGAGAGGGUUCUGACUCUGAGAUUUCAUGAAAUGCAAAACAAUAGGACAGCUGCUCUUCCAUAAACAGAUUAUUAUUAUUAUUUCUACCUAGACAGCUUGAUAGCAGCCAUUAUCUUCUUUCUGGGUGUCUUAUCAAGUUCCGGCUGUGUGCAGCAUGGGUGAUAAGGAAAGAGAAAUGUCACCCAUGGGAUUGCCAAGGAUUAUUUCUAUGCACUGCUGUUCAGCAACAGCCAAUCUCUCAGAACUGAGAAGAAGUCCUAUUGUUCACGCUGGGCAGUUGCUAUUCUGACUAUCCCAAGAGAGCAGAAAAGGGAUGUAGUUGCCAUUGUGCAAAAGAUUGAUAUUUCAUUACUCUCAGCUAAAGUUCUGAAAAGCAGAAUCAUCAUGAAAUAUCUUUGAAGAGAGAAAAGACAAGGGAAGAAAAGAAGAACGAAAUGAGUUCAGAGCUUUUUAGAACUGUGAGGGAGUGCGAAAAAAGAAAGGUGUAAUACUUUCAAACAGUGGAAGUUAAAAUGCCAGGCGUGUAAGCCUCAGUGAAAUUGAGCAGCAUCACGUCACCACGACUUGUGGUCCAGCUGUUUAUUGCAAAGACUCCAUCCUGCGUUACUCAUCAGAAAAUAGUUAACUUUGUAUCUGGCAUUAUUUUAAUUAAAAAAAAAGUUAACUUACUAGAUUUCUGUUUGUCUGUGUUUCAUACAAGGUUCUUGAAUGAAAAUAAUCUGUUGAUAUUUAACAUUUUUCCUUUCCUUCUCAAUGAGAAAAUAAAUGUUUUAUUAUACAUGC
Molecule: long non-coding RNA, 2358 nt
Filed under: Homo sapiens (human)
Lineage: Eukaryota; Metazoa; Chordata; Mammalia; Primates; Hominidae
Description: HSALNT0369726
Source: RNAcentral